This 274-nucleotide ribosomal RNA is filed under the name uncultured bacterium. RNAcentral's name for it is "partial 16S ribosomal RNA". It matches the Rfam family "Bacterial small subunit ribosomal RNA", at positions 69 to 339 of the family's 1533-position model. The record is from RNAcentral. RNAcentral also lists the same sequence under 1 other name.
UCUGGGAGAGCUUGCUCUUCCAGGAUGACGACCGGCGCACGGGUGAGUAACGCGUAUCCAACCUGGCCCAUACCACGGGAUAGCCCGUCGAAAGGCGGAUUAAUACCGUAUGCUGUCAUUAAGAUGCAUAUAUUGAUGACGAAAGGACUGGCGGUAUGGGAUGGGGAUGCGUCUGAUUAGCUUGUUGGCGGGGUAACGGCCCACCAAGGCGACGAUCAGUAGGGGUUCUGAGAGGAAGGUCCCCACAUUGGAACUGAGACACGGUCCAAACUCC